UACAGCUAUAUCAAGUUGUAACACCGGUUUUCGUACGAUCACCGGAGUUAAGCAACAUCGAGCCUGGUCAAUACCGAGAUAGGUGGCUUGGGAAUACCAGGUGCUAUA
This is a non-coding RNA of Acanthosepion pharaonis, 108 nucleotides long. NCBI's taxonomy places the organism in Eukaryota, Metazoa, Mollusca, Cephalopoda, Sepiida, Sepiidae. The record is from the annotation of a GenBank genome assembly.